CCCUCAGCACGUGACCAAUUGUUGUGUUUCCUUCCUGGGGCUCCGUCGUAGCUGGCACCCGCCAACGGCUGAACAAAAGUGCCCCCUUCAGGAGCUCUUCGUGUCGUCGGCUGAGUGCUCAGAUCCCCUCAGGCCAGACAAGAGCGAAGACUUCCCUAAUUGGGGCCGAGGUUGUGGCUGCCUGCAAUGCCGUCAUCCCAGAGGGGCACCAGUUACAGUCCUGGCUGCUCCACUUCCCAUCCAGCUCCCCACGAAUGGCCUGGGUGCUUGGGACCCUGCACCCAGGGAAGAUCCAGGUCAUAGGGGUCAUUGGUAGCUUCGGGAUCCGCAUGGAAGGAAGGCCUAUACUUCCGGGAAUGGAGACGUCCCUACCUGUACUUGCUGGGAAGAAAAGUCCUUGUCAAGGUCCCUGCGGGUGCCUAAAGGUCAACCAAUGAGGAUCAGACCCGCCUCAACCUUUAACCCCCAUGCCCUGAAUCUAUAAAAGGAGCCCUCCCAAUCUCUGACGUGCAACUUCCCCGGCCCCCACCCUGCUGCUCUGUUGGGACCGGGGAACCUCGCCCGGGAGCAGAACCCCAAUAAA
Long non-coding RNA from Lepus europaeus (European hare), 583 nucleotides. RefSeq lists it as uncharacterized. Lineage: Eukaryota; Metazoa; Chordata; Mammalia; Lagomorpha; Leporidae. The record is from RefSeq and is a predicted model, not a curated record. The transcript has 3 exons.